GAGGCAGACCACAGGCCUUCUUGAGGAGGAC
This 31-nucleotide non-coding RNA is filed under the name Homo sapiens (human). Lineage: Eukaryota; Metazoa; Chordata; Mammalia; Primates; Hominidae. The record is from RNAcentral.